CCGCCACAGGAAUCGCUAGUGCGUGAAGGGGCACAGAGUAGGCUUAGAAAGCACCAUAUUGAAAUGCUAUGCCAAUAUUGUAAUUGUCAACAAAACGUAGUAACCGCCGAUAACUUCCUCUAUUCUAUCCGGAGUGUGAUUUGAUUGUGUGUAAAGGGGAUAAUGCUCGAGUUGAUUCAAAAUGCCUUUACUUUACUCUUUGACUGUGGAAUAGAUUCAUUUCUAAAAACCCAAUUGCAGCCAUUGCUGAAGGCACCGUUCUGAAAUAAUCAUCACAGCAUUUAUGUGAGGAGCAAGGAAAAGGAUUCCAGAAUAUCUCCGUCCCAAAACGGCCGCCUUUUAACCUAUGGGCCAUGGUCCAAGUAUGUUCAGGAUCUCCUGGGAUCCUGAGUGGCGCAGCGGUCUAAAAGCAUUAUCUUAGUGCUAGAGGCAUCACUACAGACACCCUGGUUUGAAUCCAGGCUGUAUCACAACCGGCCGUGAUUGGGAGUCCCAUAGGGCGGCGCACAAUUGUCCCAGCGUCGUCCGGGUUUGGACGGUGUAGGCCGUCAUUGAUUCACAUGGGAAAAUAUUAAUGUUAUUUCCAACAACCGAUGAGCAACUCUGCUGUAAAUUCAUCUGCAUAUUGAAAGUUGAGAUUGCCCAAAGGCUCUUUGGCAAUGACAUGGAGUGGCAAGGAGUGGAAUUUUAGCUAAACAGACUGGUCACAGACACAUUUACAGUCAGCGGAUAAUCCUCCAUAAGCUGUAGGAUUUUUGUAGGAGAGGAGGGAGAGGAGUGGAGGACAAGGGGAGAGGAGGGAGGGGAGAGGAGGGAGAGGAGCGGAGGACGAGGGGAGAGGAGGGAGGGGAGAGGAGGGAGAGGAGUGGAGGACGAGGGGAGAGGAGGGAGGGGAGAGGAGGGAGAGGAGUGGAGGACGAGGGGAGAGGAGGGAAGGGAGAGGAGGGAGAGGAGUGGAGGACAAGGGGAGAGGAGGGAGAGGAGUGGAGGACGAGGGGAGAGGAGGGAGGGGAGAGGAGGGAGAGGAGUGGAGGACGAGGGGAGAGGAGGGAGAGGAGUGGAGGACGAGGGGAGAUGAGGGAAGGGAGAGGAGGGAGAGGAGGGUGAGGGGAGAGAAGGUAAGGGAGGGGAGAGGAGGAGGAGGGAGGGGAGAGGAGAACGAGAGGAGCGAGGGGAGAGGAGGGAGAGGAGUGGAGGACGAGGGGAGAGGAGGGAGAGGAGUGGAGGACGAGGGGAGAGGAGGGAGAGGAGAGGAGGACGAGGGGAGGAGGGGGUCACAUUUGACAUUUUAGUAAUUUAGCACACUCUUAUCCAGACUGACUUACAGUAGUGAGUAGAUGUCUAAGUAUCACCUCCCCUCCCCCCUGGAUC
This 1371-nucleotide long non-coding RNA is filed under the name Salmo salar (Atlantic salmon). RNAcentral describes it as "lncRNA (ENSSSAG00000101199.1)". The record is from RNAcentral. Lineage: Eukaryota; Metazoa; Chordata; Actinopteri; Salmoniformes; Salmonidae.